CACUUUUCUCAUUUAAAAAAUUUCUCAAUUCUCUCCAUCCUUUUAGAAGGAAAGCAGAGUUGAAAUUGUUCUCUCCGUAGCUAUCCACCUUGAAUGUUCUGCCAACGCCAUGACUCAUUCCAAAAUCAAAGGUGUUUUCAUCCUAUUUCACAAUAUGGUAUCAGAGCCUUCAGCCAUGGAUAUGGCUUAGUCUUAGCUGGGAACGCAAAGUUGAAGACGACAAGCUACAAUGAAGGCUGAAUUGGACAACACCUUUCCGAAGAAACAUGGUUAUAAUCAUCCUCUAUUUUUUUAGUACAGCAGAUACUUCAGGAGUUAUUUUAAUCUCCAUUCAGUUAACGGGAUCAGAAAACUAUUCUGUAUGGAGUCGAUCGAUGCGCAUUGCGAUACUUGGCAGAAAUAAGUUGGGUCUAAUUGAUGGAAAGUGCAAAAAAGCAAAUUUUGGUCCUAAUCUAGCUGAUCUGUGGGAAAGGUGCAAUGCUAUUGUCCUUUCAUGGAUUAUGAAUUAUGUUUCGAAGGAGCUGUUAGGGGGAAUUGUCUAUUCUUCUGAUGCAUGUGCUGUUUGGAAUGAUCUCAAGGAGUAAUUUGAUAAAGCUGAUGGUUCGCGCAUUUUUCAAUUGUACAGAGAAAUUGCAACUACGACACAAGGAUGUGAUUAUGCAAAAUCAAGGGAAUUUGGUGAAUUUAUGACGAGGCAAAAGCUUCUGCAAUUCUUAAUGGGUCUCAACAAAACAUAUGAACAAUCACGCACUCAAAUUCUUAUGCUCAUUCCCCUUCCUUCCGUUAAUCAGGCAUACUUUAUGAUGAUUGAUUGAAAGAAAGAGCCAAAAGAUGUUAACUAAUUCUACAACCACAACUACAAAUCUGGAGAUAGCUGCCUACAUAAAUGCUAAACAUCCUACUAACAAUAAGUUUCAGCAAAAUUGGAACCCUAAUCGGAGUGCAAAAUGUGAAUACUGCAAAUUGAUGGGACAUGUUUCGGAUGACUGCUAUCGAUUGCAUGGCUAUCCUUCGGAUUUCAAAUUCAAUAGAAGUUCUGGGAAUAACAAUGGUUCAUACAUGAGGGGAGGUGAGAGUAAAGAAAAUUCACCCAAUGUGAGAAUUUCUCAUGGCAGGGGUCAACACAAAGCAGCUACAUAUGUGGACAAUUACAAUAACUCAGGACAUAAUCUUCACAGGAAUGCAAAGUGCUAUGAAAAUGGGAGAAGUGCACAAUAUUUUGGUGGAGAAUCCAGUAAGAUGUCUGAAAGUCACAACUACUUACAACAAUAAUAUGGUGAUAUGGUGCAACACAUAAAUAAUCCUCAUCAUUAUUCUCAGUUUAAGAAGAUCAUUGACAAAGACAAUACAGUUGAUAGUUCAGCUCUCUUAACUGAACACACCGACUCAGCAAACAUGGGAGGUAAUAUGUUUACAUCAUCUGUGGUUGAUGCUCAGAUUACAGAUGACUAACUGCAAUAGACAUUGAGGACGUGAGAAGGGAGGUGAAUAUAUUAAGAUCCUUGAUAGGACAUAACCAUUUAGUAAAAUUUUAUAAUUCAUAUGAAGACCACAACAAUGUCUACAUAGUCAUGGAGUAAGCUUCGUCACUCAACUCCCAUCAUAUUUACAUUUGCAAUGGAGUUCAAUCUCAAACUUAGAUUAAGAGGAUACUUUGUUGGUUAUCAACCAAAGUUUUAAGUAGCAUGGCAGUUUAUGUAUUUAUGUGGAAAAGUAUCGCUAAAGAAUCUAAUUUUAGAUGUUUUUAAAGUUGUUGAUUUUAGGAAAACUGAAGUUUAUUCAGUACUCUUGCUUGAGAAUGAGUUCACAUUGUUCUUGUUACAGUAAGUAUUGCACUUGAAUUAGCUCUUUUAGCAAUAGAAGUUCUUGGUGGAAUCUCCUUUGCUAUUCUUGGUAAACUAUCUAUAGAAGAUGUUGAUGCAAUAACUGGUGCAUGUGUUCUCAAAAGCACUCCUGGGGGAGAGUGGGUUUUUUCUGGACUUUAGGUCAUCUUGUGACCUGUACUUUGAUUUAUGUGAUUUAUGCCCCAUAUAAGGCGUAAAGAUGGCAAGGAGUUCUUUCCUAAAAGAGUAUUUAACACUUCUCCAACCCUCCGAAGACACGAUCAAUAGGGCGCUAAUCUAAUGCAGUGAAGGAGUCCAAUCAUUGUUGUUGUAUUGGGGAACCUGAAAUGGAAUCGGUUCAAGAACCAACCACAAAAAUUUCCACCAAUUGAUAUUUCUCGUAUUUUAAGAGCUUUACUGAAGCUAUUUGAAGUGACUCUACUCGAAAGUUGUCUGGGAUGGGUCCCUCAACCCAAUAGUUCGCUAGGGCGGUGCUCAGAUCAACACAAAUAAAAGAAGAAAAAACCUGUAUGCCCCCCUGAUCAUGCCUUCAAGAGUGUAUUGUACGCAGUCUUACCUUGCAUUAUACUAAUAAUAUAAAAAAUCAAAUGCUUAGGAACAACAUCAUUGGAAUGUGUCUUCUUAUUUGCCUCGGCCUGUAAGAAUGAGACUCCUACACUAUUGGCAAUCCAAGCCUGAAAAAUGCAUAUAUUGAUUGUUACUAUACUCAAAAUAUUUCCUUUUCUAGCCUCCUUUUGUUUUUUGGACAAGCAGAAGUUAAUGACUUGACUAAGUAAGUACCUUCUUUUUCUCAUCUUAUCUUAGAGGCUCCUUGGGUUUUGGUGAGGAAGCACUGCAAUCUCUUCCAGGCAAAAUUAGAUCAUAGGAAAAUAAAUCAUUCGUUGGUGACGGGAUUGCAGUAGAGCCUUUUAAUCCAAAUAAAGAGUGAGAAGAAGGUUAUUUUGAUGCAUCAGGAAACUAUGUUGAAUAUAUAAAUGAAUGAGAUAAAGGUGGGAGUAUUGCAUCAAAUAUUGUCUACCUCAGACCCCAAUCCUUAUCUUCUUUAUGGGAAGAGUGCUAUAGAGAUAUCAAAUGAAGAUGAAAUUAGCCUUUAAUUAGCUUCCCCAAGCUUUUAAGGAUAUAGGCAUUUGGCAGCUAAAUAUAUUCUUCCAUUUGUGUGAUGCUUGUCGGUGAAUAUCCUGAUGUGCAAUUUUAAUGAGCCUACAUAUAUUAGUUUGCCACGGGUUCACUUUUGUAUGAAGUUCAAUGGUACCAAAUGCCUUGCUUUCUCUCUGUUUA
Capsicum annuum is the source of this 3122-nucleotide RNA transcript. RefSeq lists it as uncharacterized. The transcript has 5 exons. NCBI's taxonomy places the organism in Eukaryota, Viridiplantae, Streptophyta, Magnoliopsida, Solanales, Solanaceae. The record is from RefSeq and is a predicted model, not a curated record.